RNAcentral lists this ribosomal RNA (468 nucleotides) under uncultured bacterium. RNAcentral describes it as "partial 16S ribosomal RNA". It matches the Rfam family "Bacterial small subunit ribosomal RNA", at positions 28 to 507 of the family's 1533-position model. The record is from RNAcentral.
GACGAACGCUGGCGGCGUGCUUAACACAUGCCAGUCGAACGGAAAGGCCCUGCUUUUGUGGGGUGCUCGAGUGGCGAACGGGUGAGUAACACGGGAUUAACCUGCCCUUGACUUGGGGAUAACUUCAGGAAACUGGGGCUAAUACCGGAUAGGAGCUCCUGCUGCAUGGUGGGGGUGGGAAAGUUUCGGCGGUUGGGGAUGGACUCGCGGCUUAUCAGCUUGUUGGUGGGGUAGUGGCUUACCAAGGCUUUGACGGGUAGCCGGCCUGAGAGGGUGACCGGCCACAUUGGGACUGAGAUACGGCCCAGACUCCUACGGGAGGCAGCAGUGGGGAAUAUUGCACAAUGGGCGGAAGCCUGAUGCAGCAACGCCGCGUGCGGGAUGACGGCCUUCGGGUUGUAAACCGCUUUCGCCUGUGACGAAGCGUGAGUGACGGUAAUGGGUAAAGAAGCACCGGCUAACUACGUG